RNAcentral lists this non-coding RNA (109 nucleotides) under Bifidobacterium thermophilum. Its description in RNAcentral is "TPP sequence". It matches the Rfam family "TPP riboswitch aptamer (THI element)". From Rfam's summary of the family: Vitamin B(1) in its active form thiamin pyrophosphate (TPP) is an essential coenzyme that is synthesised by coupling of pyrimidine and thiazole moieties in bacteria. The previously detected thiamin-regulatory element, thi box was extended, resulting in a new, highly conserved RNA secondary structure, the THI element, which is widely distributed in eubacteria and also occurs in some archaea. Lineage: Bacteria; Bacillati; Actinomycetota; Actinomycetes; Bifidobacteriales; Bifidobacteriaceae. The record is from RNAcentral.
UGGGCAACCUAGGGGAGCUGCGGCGGGGCCGUGGCUGAGAGUGCGCAAGGCGCAGACCCUGUGAACCUGUCCGGGCAAUACCGGCGAAGGAAAGGAACAGCCAUGACGG